ACAGAGGGGGCAAGCGUUAUUCGGAAUUAUUGGGCGUAAAGGGCGCGUAGGCGGCGUCUCAAGUGGAUGGUGAAAUCCCCGGGCUUAACCUGGGAACUGCCGUCCAAACUGAGAGGCUUGAGUCCGGGAGAGGUAAGUGGAAUUCCCAGUGUAGCGGUGAAAUGCGUAGAUAUUGGGAGGAACACCAGUGGCGAAGGCGGCUUACUGGACCGGAACUGACGCUGAGGCGCGAAAGCGUGGGGAGCAAACAGGA
This 253-nucleotide ribosomal RNA is filed under the name uncultured prokaryote. RNAcentral describes it as "partial 16S ribosomal RNA". It matches the Rfam family "Bacterial small subunit ribosomal RNA", at positions 525 to 777 of the family's 1533-position model. The record is from RNAcentral.